RNAcentral lists this long non-coding RNA (759 nucleotides) under Spirodela polyrhiza (greater duckweed). RNAcentral describes it as "long non-coding RNA (SPOL_LNC001493)". The record is from RNAcentral. Lineage: Eukaryota; Viridiplantae; Streptophyta; Magnoliopsida; Alismatales; Araceae.
AUAUUGAGAUUGAUUGUCACUUUACAAGAUAAAAUUAAAAUGUGACAACAUUAAAUGACCUGUUGUUUUUCUUCUUGCAUGCAAUUAACAAUUUUUUUCACUAAAUCUCAUACUAACAUGAGCUUCAACAUCUUACAUGAUAAAUUCUCAAUGUUUCUCCCAACAACAUUGAGUUUGAGGGAGGUAUUGAAUUUCUUAUCUCCCCAAGGUUUUCUCCUUUGUAACAAGCAACUAUGCACACAAGGUCUGGGUAAUCAACACCCCUUUCCUCUGUAUCCCUAUCCUUCUCUUCUCCUAGUGGUACAUUGAUUCUAACAAUCACAAGGACCAAACCAUUCAAUUCUCUCCUGCAUGGCCACAAUAAUCCCAUUUAGAGACAUUAAUUUUGCAGCCUAGGGAACAUUCAAACCACCAAUAUGGUUUCAAACCCAAAUUCUUUCUAGCUACCCAUCUUAAGAUAAAUCAGCACCCUGUAAUUGGCCAAUGGAACAGAGUGUGUAUGGAUCGUGUAUGAAGAAAUGGGUAUUCAUCAUGAUGGCUUGGAGGAGGUGACUAGCAGGCAAUCCUAGGCAGAGCCGAGCAAGGUGUUUAGAGAAACAUAGAUACCACUAUUUUGCAAGGAGAAAUACAGACAAGAACACAGGGCAUAACCAGUUUAAUUCUAUAAUAACCAGAAGAAUGAACAGAUAUGAAACGAAAUAUUUCAAAAACAGGAGAAAAAAAUUCUGAAAAUGGUAGUGAAUCAGCUCAUACUAAGAU